GACGAACCGUGCGACCGUUAUUCGGAAUUACUGGGCGUAAAGGGCUCGUAGGCGGCCAACUAAGUCAGACGUGAAAUCCCUCGGCUUAACCGGGGAACUGCGUCUGAUACUGGAUGGCUAGAGGUUGGGAGAGGGAUGCGGAAUUCCAGGUGUAGCGGUGAAAUGCGUAGAUAUCUGGAGGAACACCGGUGGCGAAGGCGGCAUCCUGGACCAAUUCUGACGCUGAGGAGCGAAAGCCAGGGGAGCAAACAGG
Molecule: ribosomal RNA, 253 nt
Filed under: uncultured bacterium
Lineage: Bacteria
Description: partial 16S ribosomal RNA
Rfam family: Bacterial small subunit ribosomal RNA
Source: RNAcentral